GAUGAAGAACGUAGCGAAAUGCGAUACGUAAUGUGAAUUGCAAAUUCAGUGAAUCAUCGAGUCUUUGAACGCACAUUGCGCCCCCUGGUAUUCCGGGGGGCAUGCCUGUCCGAGCGUCAUUGCUGCCCUCAAGCACGGCUUGUGUGUUGGGCCCCGUCCUCCGAUCCCGGGGGACGGGGCCGAAAGGCAGCGGCGGCACCGCGUCCGGUCCUCGAGCGUAUGGGGCUUUGUCACCCGCUCUGUAGGCCCGGCCGGCGCUUGCCGAUCAACCCAAAUUUUUAUCCAGGUUGACCUCGGAUCAGGUAGGGAUACCCGCUGAACUUAAGCAUAUCAAUAAGCGGAGGA
Molecule: unclassified non-coding RNA, 345 nt
Filed under: soil metagenome
Description: partial contains 5.8S ribosomal RNA, internal transcribed spacer 2, and large subunit ribosomal RNA
Rfam family: 5.8S ribosomal RNA (bases 1-119)
Source: RNAcentral